This 253-nucleotide ribosomal RNA is filed under the name uncultured bacterium. RNAcentral's name for it is "partial 16S ribosomal RNA". It matches the Rfam family "Bacterial small subunit ribosomal RNA", at positions 524 to 776 of the family's 1533-position model. The record is from RNAcentral.
UACGAAGGGUGCAAGCGUUAAUCGGAAUUACUGGGCGUAAAGCGUGCGUAGGCGGUUCGUUAAGUCUGUCGUGAAAGCCCCGGGCUCAACCUGGGAACUGCAGUUGAUACUGGCCGACUAGAGUACGAGAGAGGGAGGUAGAAUUCCAUGUGUAGCGGUGAAAUGCGUAGAUAUAUGGAGGAAUACCAGUGGCGAAGGCGGCCUCCUGGCUCGAUACUGACGCUGAGGUGCGAAAGCGUGGGGAUCAAACAGG